UGGGCAACCUGCCCUCAGCUCUGGGAUAACUCCAAGUAAUUGGGGCUAAUACCGGAUAUGACCGCUGACCGCAUGGUCUGGUGGUGGAAGGAUUUAUCGGCUGGGGAUGGGCCCGCGGCCUAUCAGCUUGUUGGUGGGGUAGUGGCCUACCAAGGCGACGACGGGUAGCCGGCCUGAGAGGGCGACCGGCCACACUGGGACUGAGACACGGCCCAGACUCCUACGGGA
This 228-nucleotide ribosomal RNA is filed under the name uncultured bacterium. RNAcentral's name for it is "partial 16S ribosomal RNA". It matches the Rfam family "Bacterial small subunit ribosomal RNA", at positions 118 to 346 of the family's 1533-position model. The record is from RNAcentral.